CCAAUAGCGUAUAUUAAAGUUGUUGCAGUUAAAAAGCUCGUAGUUGAAUUUCGGGGUUAGUACGCUGGUCAUGCCUUCGGUAUGUACUGGUGUUACCGAUUCCUACCUUCUGAAGAACCGUUAUGUCAUUAAUUUGGUGUGGCGGGGAAUCAGGACUGUUACUUUGAAAAAAUUAGAGUGUUUAAAGCAGGCUCGCGCUUGAAUACAUUAGCAUGGGAUAAUGAAAUAGGACGUUCGAUCCUAUUUUGUUGGUUUCUAGGAUUGACGUAAUUAUUAAUAGGGAUAGUUGGGGGCAUUAGUAUUUAAUUGUCAGGGGUGAAAUUCUGGGAUUUAUUGAAGACUAACUACUGCGAAAGCAUUUGCCAAGGAUGUUUUCAUUAAUCAAGAACGAAAGUUAGGGGAUCGAAGACGAUCAGAUACCGUCGUAGUCUUAACCAUAAACUAUGCCGACUAGGGAUCGGAUGAUGUUAUUUUUAAUGACUCAUUCGGCGCCUUACG
This 498-nucleotide ribosomal RNA is filed under the name uncultured Glomeromycotina. RNAcentral's name for it is "partial small subunit ribosomal RNA". It matches the Rfam family "Eukaryotic small subunit ribosomal RNA", at positions 591 to 1092 of the family's 1831-position model. Lineage: Eukaryota; Fungi; Glomeromycota. The record is from RNAcentral.